RNAcentral lists this transfer RNA (72 nucleotides) under Candidatus Peregrinibacteria bacterium. RNAcentral's name for it is "tRNA-Tyr". It matches the Rfam family "tRNA". Rfam says of the family: Transfer RNA (tRNA) molecules are approximately 80 nucleotides in length. Their secondary structure includes four short double-helical elements and three loops (D, anti-codon, and T loops). The record is from RNAcentral. Lineage: Bacteria; Candidatus Peregrinibacteriota.
UCCCGUUUAGCUCAGUGGUGGAGCACUUCCCCGUACAGGAAGCGGUCACUGGUUCGAUCCCAGUAACGGGAG